This is a long non-coding RNA of Cyprinus carpio (common carp), 1285 nucleotides long. The record is from Ensembl. NCBI's taxonomy places the organism in Eukaryota, Metazoa, Chordata, Actinopteri, Cypriniformes, Cyprinidae.
UUGGUCUGUUGCUAUUCUUUUUGUUAUUGUGAUUUUUAGCCGAUGUUAACUUUGUGUAUUGUGGGUUAAGCUGAUGUUUUUUUAUAUCUGCAUAUGCCUGGUGCAUUACCAAAAAGCUCAGUUUGACCUCCAUUCAUUUAAACAUCUUUUGGUUGGACAUUUGUAUGUAUACAAAGGGGAGGGAAGGAGAGGAAAGGUAAGAAUAUCACGUGAUAUACAUUUUUACAUCCUGCAGUGAAGUUUUGUUAUAUACACUAAGUAAGGGGCAUGCGUAAUCUGCGGUACUUUUUGUUUGAGCUAGUGAGUGUAGCUUAUCUUAGGUUAUCUUCGGAUACUGAAGAUUUUCUUUUCUUUUCUUUUUCUUUAGUUAGUGUAGAAUUGAUAGCUGAGUUAGAGGGUUAUGUUUUGAUUAUUUCUUUUGUUUGAUUGCCACCCAAUUCCCUCCCUCUUUUUCCCUAGUUGCCUGGGGUUUUCUUUUUUUUUGUUUUGUUUUCUUUCUUCCUGUUUUUUUGUAUAUAAGCUUUUCUACAAUUACAUUGUAAAUGAACACUUGUUUGCCUUUAGCGUUUUGGUUUCACUGCUUGCACUGUUAUUGGACCGUAGUCAAAACCCGACAGUUAAAUGUUAUUCCCCAUACCCCUUAUUAACCACAGGGGAUGUAACAUUAAAUGGGGGCUCGUCCGGGAUCUUUAUAACUUUCCCGAGAUGUUGAGGUUUGGUUUCGUGUUGAUGCCUGAUAUGAAAUACAUCUCACUUAAAUGGCAAGGCAUACGCAGCAGCAGGUCAGGCUGUGGCUUUAUUACACACGAUGGUGGUGCUUCAAGACGGGCACAGAAGGCUAGUGUCGUGACUCGCGCUCCUCCCCCACCUGCGGGCAGGGGUAAGAGGAAUUGUGGGUCACAAGGAGGUAAGCAGAACCUAAGGGAUAUGAUCCAGACGAGGCAGCGUUCUCGUCUGAGUCAGAGUGAUACUGAGGUAUCUACUCGUUCCCUUUAAGGAUUUUUAACUUCUGCUUUUAUCCUCCCCUUCCUAAUUCCCCUGUAACCACCAGCUCUCCACCUGAUCGAGGUUAGGUGGAAACCUCUAACGCAUAACAGUCUUCUAUGCUGGACCUAUAAUGUUUUUGGCUGGUUCUAUGUUCAUAGCAACCACCUUACUGAUGGUCCGGACUAAAAGGAGGCGUCCCUUGAGCGGGGCUCCAGCGCAGGAGGGUGGGAGUAUAUACUUAUGUGUAAAUUGCUGGUGGUUAUGUGUCUACUAAUAAACUCUGUGAGUUUCCUUUGCA